UCCACUGAGCCAAACCAGCUAGAGCUUUUCUUUUAACAUGAAACCCAACUGUUCUCUGCCAUGGCCAAUAAAGGACUUCAUACCCUGGUCUCUCCCAGCCAUAUCUCCUUACCCUCUCUCCCCUCAUUUUCUCUGCUCCUUUCUUUCUGUUGCCAAAUUUGGAAAGUUAGUCUAGAUAGAAGGAUGUCUUCCUAAUUCCAAGUAGACUUCACUUCUGACCUAUGGUCCAUCUUAGAAAGCUGCCCCUCCCUGCAUCCUCUGCAGUUAGGGCUCUGACUAGGAAUUCCCAAACUCAGUGGCUAUAAGAAUCUCCUGAAGAAUCUGCUAAAAUGACAAUUCCUGUGCCCCACUCAUGACCUAAUCAGUCUCAGGGGGAGAAGUCUGGGAAGUCAUGUGUUAACAAGGCCAUUGUAAUGCAUAAGGUGGUCCCUGAACCUCAGUGUGAAAAAUAGUGCAGAGUCUAGACCAGGGUGUGAAAGAGCCCUUUUGAUUCCAGGCACAAGAAAUGCAGUCUGGCACAACCGGAAGCCUUACAAGGGAGGGGAAAUUGGCUUCCAGGAAGACUGGACCUAAUUCAGAGAAAUGGGGGAGAGAACCUAGAAUAGAGGGUUAGGUCGGCUAUGAUUUUUUUUAAUACUUUUUUAUUGAUUUCAGACAGGAGGGGAGAGGGAGAUAGAAACAUCAAUGAUGAGAGAGAAUCUGUGAUCAGCUUCCUCCUGCACAUCCUCUACUGGGGAUGGAGCCUGCAACUCAGGCAUGUGCCCUGGACUGGAACUGAACCUGGGACCCUUCAGUUCGCAGGCUGACGCUCAAUCCACUGAGCCAAACCAGCUAGGGUGAGCUAUGAUUUCGAUAUGUUAAACAGACUAGUAAUUGGAAGCCUAAUUCAAACAUUGGAUCUGUGUCAGGCACCUGGACUUGCAGAUGAGCAGGGUCCCAUCCCCUGGAGCUGAUAAGCUAGUGGGGCAGUGAAGCACAUGACUAAUAUGGAGCCAGAACAGAUGAGGCUGUAGGCCGGGCAACGGAGGAAGAUACCCCCAAGCAGUGGAGAGGAAGCUGGAAAUGGGGAAGGGUGUCAUUCUUGCCUGCUGUGACUACCAUCCACAAGCGUUGUAUAUCCUUGGUUUUCUCCCCUGGAAGCUUCCCUGAUUAACAGUUUGAAGAAAGCCUUCUACAGCUAUUUAAAAAAUCCUUACGUGGAAGGUCAGUAUAGGAAACAGACUGAGGAGAACUGCCCUGGCUGAAGGGAGGAGAUGGAGAAGGGAAUGUCUAAAAUCUUGCCCAUUUCCCCAGCUUCCCGGCACUUCUACAAGUUUAAGAACGACUGUAAAAGGCAACCUAAGGAUCCUUCCAGGGAGCAAUUAUGCUCUGAAAAUACCACUGAUGUUGAUAUAGGAAAGCAAUAUACUGCCCUCCCCCUGUCAACGGACAGACAACACUAAUCAACUGGACAGCACUCCAGGCAGGCACUACCAACCCACUUGACCUGGCCUGAGAAAGGAAAUCUUUCCGCCAUGUAAGCCAUGAACUUCAUCCUCACUGAACUUGCAGCUCAUGACCUGGAGGACAGAGGCAGCAGGCAGGGCCAACUCUGAGCCAAGGUCCCAGUGGUUCGGCUGUGCAGAGGUCAGGCCUGUCCCUCACCUUGUGGAGGAGGUCCUCCAGGCUGUGCGCCGUGAUGCCCUUCCGCACACUCCGGUCCUGGGUGCUCACUCUGCAGGGCCGGGCUCUGAGGGGCUCCGGGCUGGGCUCCGACAGCAGCUGCUGGGUGACCACCGAGGUGCUCACUGCCACAUACCUGGGGGUGGUUUGGGGCAUUAGGAUAAGCUGCCUGCUGCUUCCCAGCUCUCACCCCAUAGCAAUCCCCCUAGGCUGAGUUCCCCAUAUUCCUCCUCCCCUACCACCUACCAGGCCUGCUCUAGAUAGUCUUACUACUCAAAAGUCAGCCACAUCAGUGCAUCUGAGACUUUAAUGGGCAUCCAAGUCCUGUGGGGAUCUUGGUGAAAUGCAGAUUCUGAUUCAGUAGGUCUGGGUGGAGUGUGAGAUUCUAUGUGUCUGAAAAAUUCCCAAGUGAUAUUGACUCUGCGGGUUCUCAGACCAUGAGGGGGAACAGUGAUAGAAGACCCACCCCACAUUCCCCCAAUUCCACUUUCCUCUCUUGGCCUCACUCUUCUCACCUGUAAAGUGAGAUAAAGUGGCGAAGCUGACGUCAGUGUAAGGUGGUGUUGUGCUCUGACAUAACACAAUGUAGAACCAACGGAGUGGAGGGAACCUGGGUUUUGGAGUCAGGCAGGCAAAGUUAGAAUCCUGGCCCCACUAUCCAUUUGCUAGGUAAUGGAAAGCAUCCACUCUGUGCCCCAGCUCCCUCGUCUAUUAAUUUGGCAUAAUCAUCCCCACUUCCCAAAGUCGUGGUGAGGCUGAAAUGAGAUCAAGAAUGAAAGCACAAGCACUGUGUGGUGGUAAUCUUGGGUCCCAUUACAGAGCCCCUGAAUCAGAACCUGCACUUUACGAAGACACACAAGUGACUUAUGUGCCACUGAAAUUUGAGAAGUUCUGCCCUACCGCUCUCAGGUAGCUCCCCUUCCCGUUCACCCUCGGCUCUCCUCACCUGGAAAGGGACUUGGGGUUGAGAAGGCUGAGGGACUUCAUGGCGUAUUCCAUCCUCGUCAGCUGGACUGCAUUGGACCUGGGAAGGAAGCAGAAACAGCUCAUUACCGUGGACUGGGAGGGUUUCCGUUCUCUCAUCAUUUGACACAGAACCACCCCACCCCCAUCCAGCAAGCUUCCACCCUGCUCUCUCCUCUCAAUUCACAGACACCCUCCCCAGCCUUUUUUCUGUCCAGCCCUGUGCACACCGACUGUGACCAAGUUGGAGACCCCCUCAGUGCCCAGGCUCAGCCCCACUCAGCUGCUCCACCCUCCCUAGUACCACUCACUCCAUGUUUCUCUGACUCUGGCUCUGCUCACACUGAUCAGGGAUCCCAAGUUGGAGCUAAAGACGCCCGGCCUGGUUAAUUCCUGUCCCUGGGGGCAGAGUCCACUUUGUGCUGGCAGGAGGUGAGUCACACCACCUCACACUGCUGGGGACUGUUCCCUCAGCUGUAGUCCAGCGACAUCACAGGCCAGGCCUCACAGGCCUGGUCUCUCCCGUAGGCCCUUGAGCAAUCCAAACCCUCCUGAGGCUUCCCACUGACUAAAGGGACUUUGUGAGAUGAUGGAGAAUGUUCUACAUCUAUUCUCUCUGUUUCCAUAGCUACUAGCCCAAUGUGGCUAUUGAGCACUUAAAAUGUUGCUAGGAUGCCUAAGGGGCUGGAUUUUUAAUUAUUUUUAAUGCUAACUGGAUUUAAAUAGCCAUGGUGUCUUAUGGCUCCUGGCAACCAUACUGGACAGUAUAGCUCUAGCUGACAGCUUUGGGCUCACCUGCUACCACUUUUAUCUCCUAAACCUCCAUGCUCCAGCUUUGCAUGUUCCAAGCAUGCAAACGGCAGUCCCCUCCACCUGCAAUGCCUUCCUCUGGCCCAGAGCUAAAUGUUUGUAGUUUUGAAGCCCUAGUUGCAUUGCUUUCCACUCCUUGGAAAGCCUUCGUACACAGCUCACAGAAUUUCCCCUUCAACCUGCCCUUCCUACUUCUUAGCCAAGUGUCUAUUUCUGUCUUAGCCCCCUAGGCACGGGGUGCCUGGCCCUGAGAUGUUCUCCCUAAUCCUAGCCCCCAGCACAGCAAGGUCCUGGCACAGAAUAAGGGGCUCAAGGAGCGGUCAUGGAAGAAAAGCCCCCUCCACAGUCAGGUAAAAUCACUCUUUCCUUCUAAAGACGUGGGGAAGAGGGCUCCUCAGACCUGCCUUGCCUGUGAAAGCUCACUACCCAAGUCUGCUUGUUUGGGCCUCACUCCUCACUCCCAUUCCCUAUCCAUAGCAAAACUCUGCCAAGCCCCACCUCACCUGCUCUCCAAGAGCCAAAAAACAAAACACCACAAAACAAAAAACUCCUUACCUCCCCCUCACAGUCUCCUAACCUCCUUAUAGUACUGCCCUGCUCAGCUCAGCCCUCCCUUCAUUUUAUUUCCAGCUCCCGGGGGAAGCCCCUCCCCUGGCCUUCAGUGCCAGCUGGGGAAAAGAGCAUGGGGAGUGAGUGUACAGCUUUCUCCCUUGGGAUUUCAGGCCAAUCUAACUUCCAGAAAAUGCCCCAAAGGAGGGCAGGAGGCAUGUUACGACAGCUUUGGGACGGGUCUGGCCCAGGACAUGGCAGCAGGCACAGAGGGCACAGAAAACAGGCCCAUGUGGGUUGUGGCUCCAGCACUGCCCGAGUUAGCUGUCUGAGUGCAGACAAAUUGCGUUAUGCCUGUGCACUCCAGUUUCUCUCCCUGUACUACAGGGAAUAAUGAUUCCUGUGUCAAAGGAUUGAGUGAGGAUUUAUGAUAAUAAAAGUAAAGGGUGCCCUGGCCGGUUUGGCUCAGUGGAUGGAGCGUCGGCCUACGGACUGAAGGGUCCCGGGUUCUUCGAUUCUGGUCAAGGGCACAUGCCUUGGUUGCAGGCUCGGUCCCUGGUGGGGGGCGUGUAGGAAGCAGCCAAUCAAUGAUUCUCUCUCAUCAUUGAUGUUUCUAUCUCUCUCCUCCCUUCCUCUCUGAAAUCAAUAAAAAUAUU
Molecule: long non-coding RNA, 4640 nt
Organism: Myotis daubentonii (Daubenton's bat)
Lineage: Eukaryota; Metazoa; Chordata; Mammalia; Chiroptera; Vespertilionidae
Exons: 2
Source: RefSeq, a predicted model, not a curated record